This 161-nucleotide ribosomal RNA is filed under the name Trichoderma aureoviride. RNAcentral describes it as "5.8S ribosomal RNA". It matches the Rfam family "5.8S ribosomal RNA". From Rfam's summary of the family: 5.8S ribosomal RNA (5.8S rRNA) is a component of the large subunit of the eukaryotic ribosome. The record is from RNAcentral. Lineage: Eukaryota; Fungi; Ascomycota; Sordariomycetes; Hypocreales; Hypocreaceae. RNAcentral also lists the same sequence under 1 other name.
UCAAAACUUUCAACAACGGAUCUCUUGGUUCUGGCAUCGAUGAAGAACGCAGCGAAAUGCGAUAAGUAAUGUGAAUUGCAGAAUUCAGUGAAUCAUCGAAUCUUUGAACGCACAUUGCGCCCGCCAGUAUUCUGGCGGGCAUGCCUGUCCGAGCGUCAUUU